AUUAGUUCCGGAAAUGCCUUAAAACUGUAUUUCCGGCUUUCACAUUCAAUAAACAGACUAGCGUGGACACCUACCGCAAUGGUUUGGUAAUAUGCUAACGCUUUCCAUAAGCUCUUGUAAAAGUUUUGUAAGUACUGGUGUUACAAGGAGAUUUUGUUUACAAUUUUAUUGACCUGCAUGUACAUACGUAAGAAUUACAACAGAAGUUUUUGUAUCCUCCCAGUCGGUUUUAUUGAAAAGGAUUAACGACAAAACUUACUUUCGGUUGUGCAGUAAAAUGGAUAAUGUGGUGUCCAUUACGUAACGGAGUAAUCUGCAAACAGCUGUUGGAAUUUCGGCCGGCGUCGCAAAAGCAACAAUUUUCAACCGCGAAAAGCUUUUGGCCUCUUGAGCCAAAAUUACAUACAGGUUGCAGGCUUGGAAAAAUAUCUCAAUCUGGACUCACCUACUCACUCUCACUCUCUCCCUCUCCCUCUUCACGCUUUCCUUUAUUCACUCACUCUCCCACGCGAUUUUUGGAGCAGAAACGACGGCGGAGGAAAUGCAGCGCAGUCGACGCCAAAAGGGAUAUUUUAUGUUAUAUAUUAAGCGUGUCCUUAAAUAUGAAUUUCCCAAUCCUAUUCUUAUUCAAAUUAUAAAAUGUAUUUUUAGUUUUAAGCUUAAAAUAUUGUUAAGUCGGUCUCGGCUUCAUAUUAAGUAUAUAAGUAUGUUAUUCAUAUAAUUUUUGUACUAGGAGUGUCCCAUGAUAGAGUAUUAAAAUAAAUGCAUUUCGUAAAUAGCUGAUCUUAUGCACAUUCAAAUAACUAUGCUCAAUAACCUUGCUGGGACUUGAUUCACUUAAUAACUCAAUUUUGGGAUUUUCAGUGGGUGGAAAUUUCCCUGGCACCCACGCAAACGAACGGGUUAAAAGAGAGUGAAAAAGAGAGCGCACGAAAGCAACAAUUGCUUACUCUUAUGCACAAAGAAAAAAUACUAACAACUUUGGAUUUUGAAUUGAAUUACAUAGAAUUUAAUAGAAAAGUGCAGGUUAAAAAGUAAUUAAAACAAUGUAUUAG
Long non-coding RNA from Drosophila simulans, 1055 nucleotides. RefSeq lists it as uncharacterized. The transcript has 3 exons. NCBI's taxonomy places the organism in Eukaryota, Metazoa, Arthropoda, Insecta, Diptera, Drosophilidae. The record is from RefSeq and is a predicted model, not a curated record.